AAACAGAUAGCUCUAUCUUAUCUUUCAACUUUCUACCGUCAGAUCAGUUAGUCGUGUGAAUGUUCUACUUCGGAUAACAAAAGCAAGUGGUAGGGUUUUCACAUGUUCCCCAUGAACAUGAGAUUCUAACUGUUGCAUUCUCCUAACAGGGGAAGAUCUAUUAGCUAUUGCAGCAGAUCAACCCUUUCGAUUUCCCGCUACAUUCACAUUUGUUGUUAGAGCAUUUUCAGUUUUGGAUGGCAUUGGAAAGGGCCUUGACCCUCGAUUUGAUAUUACUGAGAUUGCCAAACCCUAUGCGAUGGAGUUGUUAAAGGUUUAAGGAAGCUGGGUUUGAAGUUAUCCUGAAGGCAAACUCAGAACUCUCUUGACUUAUUAACAAGGAUAGCUUUCAGCCCCCAACGAGGAGUUACAUUUGUAAUUUGUAACAAUUCUGUGGUAGAUGUCGGCAUUGUAGUCACCUUUAACGGGAUGAAUGUCUACUAAUGGUGUAUAAUUUUGUAAUAUAAGAAAAAAUUGUUCAUUAAAAUGUGCUUCUUUUUUAAUGUUUCUGCUUUGAUUUUAUAAAAACGUUAUGGUAUCGGUGUAUCACAUCACUUAUUUUUGUGUCUAUCUUAAUUGUUAGAUCUUAGAGGCAGU
Carya illinoinensis is the source of this 636-nucleotide long non-coding RNA. RefSeq lists it as uncharacterized. NCBI's taxonomy places the organism in Eukaryota, Viridiplantae, Streptophyta, Magnoliopsida, Fagales, Juglandaceae. The record is from RefSeq and is a predicted model, not a curated record. The transcript is spliced from 3 exons.